Molecule: ribosomal RNA, 460 nt
Filed under: uncultured bacterium
Lineage: Bacteria
Description: partial 16S ribosomal RNA
Rfam family: Bacterial small subunit ribosomal RNA
Source: RNAcentral
CCUACGGGAGGCAGCAGUGAGGAAUAUUGGUCAAUGGGCGCGAGCCUGAACCAGCCAUGUCGCGUGAAGGAUGACUGCCCUACGGGUUGUAAACUUCUUUUAUACAGGAAUAAACUGAGGUACGUGUACCUUUUUGUAUGUACUUUAUGAAUAAGGAUCGGCUAACUCCGUGCCAGCAGCCGCGGUAAUACGGAGGAUCCGAGCGUUAUCCGGAUUUAUUGGGUUUAAAGGGAGCGUAGGUGGGUUGUUAAGUCAGUUGUGAAAGUUUGGGGCUCAACCGUGGAAUUGCAAUUGAUACUGGUAGGCUAGAGUAUAGUUGAGGUAGGCGGAAUGCGUGGUGUAGCGGUGAAAUGCUUAGAGAUCACGAAGAACACCGAUUGCGAAGGCAGCUUACUAAACUGCCACUGACGUUGAGGCACGAAAGUGUGGGGAGCAAACAGGAUUAGAUACCCGAGUAGUC